RNAcentral lists this transfer RNA (68 nucleotides) under Microphis boaja (Asian river pipefish). RNAcentral describes it as "tRNA-Asp". It matches the Rfam family "tRNA". From Rfam's summary of the family: Transfer RNA (tRNA) molecules are approximately 80 nucleotides in length. Lineage: Eukaryota; Metazoa; Chordata; Actinopteri; Syngnathiformes; Syngnathidae. The record is from RNAcentral.
AAGAUGUUAGUAAAACAUUAUAUUGCCUUGUCAAGGCAAAGUUGCGGGUUAAUCUCCCGCACAUCUUA